Long non-coding RNA from Cavia porcellus (domestic guinea pig), 3264 nucleotides. RefSeq lists it as uncharacterized. The record is from RefSeq and is a predicted model, not a curated record. The transcript is spliced from 7 exons. Lineage: Eukaryota; Metazoa; Chordata; Mammalia; Rodentia; Caviidae.
CGGGCGGGGCGGCGGCGAAGGCGGCGGCGGCGGAGGUGGAAUGGGCGCUUUUCUCUCCCAUCUGGCUCCAUUUAUUUAUUUAUUUAGACUAGAAAAGGCGGGCAGGCUUGGAGGGAGUCGGCCCAGCGAUCAGAGUGCGCAUUGAUCAGUGUCGAGAGGGAAAAAAAAGCUACAUAAAUAUAUAUUAUGUGGAUACAUCUAUAGACAAGAGCUCCCUCGCCCGCGCGCGCUCUCCCGGUUUCUCUCUGUGUCUGCUUUUUACCUUCUCGCUUCCCCAACCUGCAAGAGCACCCCCAAAUCUCCCUCUCACCGGACAUCUACCGCCAACCGAGCCACCUGGGAAGACAGGGCUGGGGAGCAGUUGCGUUGUACUAGAGGGACUGAGGAUAGAGAUUUGGGGUCCGUUCUCUGUCCCAGUGCUCUUCCGAAGGCGGGAGGUGGAUGUUUCGGUCCCGGACCGCUUCCCCAGUCCUGGAGAGCGGCGGCCGGUCGGCCAGCGGCUGGAGAGAGGAAGGUGGAAGCCUGCGUCCGGCCCGCCGAGGAGUGAGAAAAGCGCUGGGCUCCGAGUUCGGUGAGCCAGCGCCGGGACACUGGCUUGAUUUUUCUCCCCUCAUUUCCUUUACUGGUUAGAAUUGGGGAUUUUUUUUUCUUCAAUUCACCAUCAAAGAAAUAAAGCCCCCGAAUCGCUCUCCGGGCUGUAGCGGACCCAGACUUUGCACUGCGUGCGCUGCGCCCGCGGGUUUCCUUUGCUGCACCCCAGAUCCAGAGGUGCGAGGUGGGAGUUGCGUCUGCUGGCCGAAGCCAAAGGUGCAGCCGCCGGGCGAGUGCCCCGCAGGACUCCCUUGCGGGCCGCCUGGGCUGGGACCUCCGCUGCGCUCGAGAGGGAGUGGCACGCGUGGGAGCCGAUUGGAGCAGCCCCGCCUCUGGGGGCGACUACUGGUGGUGAACUUGUCUGGGGCAACAGAUUUUCAUUUUAAUGGUAUUUACCUGCAUCCCAUCCUCUCCCGCAUUUGCCUUUCCAGGACAGCUUUUCCCAGCUUCAGAAGUCGGGCCAGUUAAAAUUAUUCGCUGCCUGCCCGCAAGGCUGGAGCUGGGACGGCGGGGCUAGCUGCUGGUCUAACCCCGGAAGGUCCCGGCUUAGGCAUCGGGUGCUCAGGGUUUCUCUACUCUUACCCUCGAAUUACAUCACGUUACUACACGAUAUUUUUAAACAUUUAUUUAAAGAAACGAGACCCCAGCAGCCUGUAUAUCCAGGCCAAGCCGGCGUGGUACAACCACAACGCGGUACUCUCCAGCGCCAGAGGAGGCCCGAGGCUCUGAGGUUCCCAGCCCUGGGGUUCAAGGUUCAGCUCAGACCCCCAGCUUCCCUCGAAGGAUGAGAGCCCAAAUCAAAUCGCAAAUUUAAAUCUUGCAAUCACUGCUGGGAAGUGAGCUGUAUCAUCUUGAGAAAUCAGACCACAGAGACGGGCCUGCAGCUGGCAGGCUGGGUCAUCUUUAAUCGUUUAACCCUUCAUAUCAAAGGAUGGCUUGUAGCAUCGGAUUCCUUCUCCAGAAUUUGCCACGGCAGAUUUUCUCAAGGAAAAGCUAAACAGAGGCUCUGGGGAGUCCCAAGACGUGCUGAAGUGAUGCAGUCCAAACCAAAUGCCACGUCUUCUGCAUGUCCAACCAGCAUCUGCUGCCUUUGAAGUGUUGCCCCAGUGUCAUGCCACCCCUUCUUGGAGCCAACUGAGUAUCGGCUGAAACCUCCAGAAACUCUAUAGGGGAAAUUUUGGUGUGAAGAUUGUGGCAAAUAUAGCCAAUGCUGACAUUAUCACUGCUCUUGCUACUAACACUGCACUGAUAUCAUCACCCUGCAAGUCAGAAGCAUCGUGAAGCUGUCCACUAUGUGCCUCUGUCACAAAGCCCUGCCUGCCUUGGAUCCAGUGGAAUAUGGAUUGAAACAUCUGCAAAUCUGCAAACUCAGACACUUUCUCUUUUUCCAUGCUGGAUUUAAAGAAGCCGUUGGUUUUAAAACAACCUGUGAAGAGUUGCUACGUGACAAGGAACUGCAGCCUUUAGAAAGAUCUUGAGGGAUCUACAGUGUCCUGUAGACAAUAGCCAACAAGGAACUGGGGACUUGAGUCUUAGCGCUAUAGGAAAAUUGAUUUUGCCUUCAACACAAGUGAGCUUCAGAGCAGAUCCAUUAUUAGGUAUAUCUCUGUAUGAAAACCAAUCCCUUGUCAACACCUUGAUUAUAGCUUUGCACAGUAUUCAGCUAAGACAAUAGGACUUGUGAUCUGUACAAGUUUGAGAUGACAAAUUCUUCUUGUUUUAAACUGCUAAGACUGGGGAAAAUUUGUUAUGUACAAUGAUAAUGAAUAAAAUACUUAGAGGUCAUGUACUCUUUUUUUGUGUAUAGUCUUGGGGGCUGUCUGGCUUCUUUUGGUCAAUACAACAUCGGUAAUUUCAAGUAUAUUGCUAUGAGAGGCAGUUAACUUUUAAAACUCAUUACUCUGCAGUAUUUUAUUAGGUAGCUAUGCUACAAUUUCUUUAUCCAGUCUAUUGUUAAUAGACACUUUUUUUCCUCAAUUUUGUCAUGCUAUGUGCAACCAUAAGGUUCAAAAUAUACAAUAGUCACUGUGAAAUGGGAGGAAACUGUUCAAUAAAAAGAAGAAACUAAGAUAGGGGAAAAGAGAAAGGAUAGAAGGGAAAAGAAAAAAAUGCAAGUUAGUUAUACCAUUAGUGUCACUUAGUUCACUGAAUAGGAAAGGUUGUGCUAAUAUUGAUUGAAGAAAUUUUUAUGCCCAUAUUUUGUACUUGAGUGACUAAAGAUAAUGAUGUGUAAUUUAUCAACAAUUGUUACUUUUUUAUUAUUUUGUUGUGAAAAUUUGUUUUACCUUUUCUUCUUAAUAUUAACAAAUAAAGAAAAAAAUCUGGGAUAAUCAUUUUUUACAUGUUAUGGUCGACACACUGUGUCAACUUGAGAAGUUUAGAAGUUUAAGAGACUCAGCAGGGAUCCAAGAUCCUUACUUUGUAAAUAUCCUCAUCCUGUGCAAGAGAAGCCAAGGAGAUUUUGUGAGUGCUCCCUUCGCUCUGGAGCGGGGAUUGCCUGUGUACAAUAUAAGGGAGGAAAAGAGGCUUGCUUUUUCCCUAUUGUACUCUUGUUUUGCUAUCUUCUGACACCUCUAGUGUUACCCCUGUGCCAUGCUACCCCACUUUGGAGCCAGCUGACUAUAAACUGAAACUGUCACAAACUGUGAGCUAAAUAAAUCUUUCCUUGCUUAA